RNAcentral lists this ribosomal RNA (301 nucleotides) under uncultured bacterium. Its description in RNAcentral is "partial 16S ribosomal RNA". It matches the Rfam family "Bacterial small subunit ribosomal RNA", at positions 509 to 807 of the family's 1533-position model. The record is from RNAcentral.
CAGUCGCCGCGGGAAUACGAAGGGGGCUAGCGUUGCUCGGAAUUACUGGGCGUAAAGGGAGCGUAGGCGGACAUUUAAGUCAGGGGUGAAAUCCCAGAGCUCAACUCUGGAACUGCCUUUGAUACUGGGUGUCUUGAGUGUGAUAGAGGUAUGUGGAACUCCGAGUGUAGAGGUGAAAUUCGUAGAUAUUCGGAAGAACACCAGUGGCGAAGGCGGCUUACUGGCUCAUACUGGACGCUGAGGUGCGAAAGCGUGGGGAGCAAACAGGAUUAGAUACCCGUGUAGUCCCUGUCUCUUAUAC